GACGAACGCUGGCGGCGUGCCUAACACAUGCAAGUCGAACGAGACCGUCGGGUCUAGGUGCGCAGGGCGAGGUAAGACGGGGUAACCAACCCGUGAGUACGGAAUACCUGACCGAGGGAGGUGCUAAUGCCACUGAAUGUAUUCGCACAAAAGAUUUCUCGCCGUUGGAUGGGGCCGUGUUGGAUUAGCGAGUUGGUAGGGGAAAAGCCUACCAAGGAGACGAUGCAGAGCUGGUCUGAUAGGAGGACAAGCCACAAUGGGACUGAGACACGGCCCAGACUCGGACGGGAGGGAGCAGUGUGGAAUAUUGGACACUGGGCGCAAGUCUGAUACAGCCACGUCGCGUGUGUGAUGAAGGCCGUAGGGUUGUAAAGCUGUUUGAGACGGGAUGAGAAUGACAGUACCGGGAGAAUAAGCACCGGCUAACUCCGUG
This 433-nucleotide ribosomal RNA is filed under the name uncultured bacterium. RNAcentral's name for it is "partial 16S ribosomal RNA". It matches the Rfam family "Bacterial small subunit ribosomal RNA", at positions 28 to 507 of the family's 1533-position model. The record is from RNAcentral.